AGAGUUUGAUCAUGGCUCAGAAUCAACGCUGGCGGCGCGCUUAACACAUGCAAGUCGCACGAGAAAGCGGGAGCAAUCUCGCAAGUACAGUGGCGUACGGGUGAGUAACACGUGGGUGAUCUACCUUUUAGUGGGGAAUAACGCUGGGAAACCGGCGCUAAUACCGCAUAAGCUCGAGAGAGGAAAGCAGCAAUGCGCUGAAAGAGGAGCCCGCGGCCGAUUAGCUGGUUGGGAGGGUAAAAGCCUACCAAGGCAAAGAUCGGUAGCCGGCCUGAGAGGGCACACGGCCACACUGGCACUGAAACACGGGCCAGACUCCUACGGGAGGCAGCAGUGGGGAAUCUUGCACAAUGGGGGCAAACCUGAUGCAGCGACGCCGCGUGAGCGAUGAAGCCCUUCGGGGUGUAAAGCUCUUUCGGCAGGGACGAUGAUGACGGUACCUGCAGAAGCAGCUGCGGCUAACUACGUGCCAGCAGCCGCGGUAAUACGUAGGCAGCGAGCGUUGUUCGGAGUUACUGGGCGUAAAGGGUGUGUAGGCGGUUUUCUAAGUUUGGUGUGAAAUCUCCCGGCUCAACCGGGAGGGUGCGCCGAAAACUGGGAGACUAGAGUGCGGGAUGGGAGAGUAGAAUUCCUGGUGUAGCGGUGAAAUGCGUAGAUAUCAGGAGGAAUACCGGUGGUGUAGACGGCUCUCUGGACCGCCACUGACGCUGAGACACGAAAGCGUGGGUAGCAAACAGGAUUAGAUACCCUGGUAGUCCACGCCCUAAACGAUGCAUAUUUGGUGUAGGUCAUUCAGUUGAUCUGUGCCGGAGCUAACGCGUUAAAUAUGCCGCCUGGGGAGUACAGUCGCAAGGCUGAAACUCAAAGGAAUUGACGGGGGCCCGCACAAGCGGUGGAGCAUGUGGUUCAAUUCGACCGCAACG
RNAcentral lists this ribosomal RNA (923 nucleotides) under uncultured bacterium. RNAcentral describes it as "bacterial SSU rRNA". It matches the Rfam family "Bacterial small subunit ribosomal RNA", at positions 8 to 961 of the family's 1533-position model. The record is from RNAcentral.